GGUGGGGUAGCCAAGUGGUUGUACGGCACCGCUUUCGAAAAGUGGCGUAGCAGCAAUGUUACCGUGAGUUCGAAUCUCACCCCCACCG
RNAcentral lists this transfer RNA (88 nucleotides) under Candidatus Daviesbacteria bacterium RIFCSPLOWO2_02_FULL_36_7. Its description in RNAcentral is "tRNA-Ser". It matches the Rfam family "tRNA". Rfam says of the family: Transfer RNA (tRNA) molecules are approximately 80 nucleotides in length. The record is from RNAcentral. Lineage: Bacteria; Candidatus Daviesiibacteriota.